RNAcentral lists this ribosomal RNA (385 nucleotides) under uncultured bacterium. Its description in RNAcentral is "bacterial SSU rRNA". It matches the Rfam family "Bacterial small subunit ribosomal RNA", at positions 29 to 417 of the family's 1533-position model. The record is from RNAcentral.
AUUAAACGCUGGCGGCAUGCCUUACACAUGCAAGUCGAACGGUAGCGCGGGGCAACCUGGCGACGAGUGGCGAACGGGUGAGUAAAGCAUCGGAACGUGCCCUGGAAUGGGGGAUAACGUAGCGAAAGUUACGCUAAUACCGCAUAUUCUGUGAGCAGGAAAGCAGGGAAUCGCAAGACCUUGCGUUCUGGGAGCGGCCGAUGUCGGAUUAGCUAGUUGGUGGGGUAAAAGCCUACCAAGGCGACGAUCCGUAGCGGGUCUGAGAGGAUGAUCCGCCACACUGGGACUGAGACACGGCCCAGACUCCUACGGGAGGCAGCAGUGGGGAAUUUUGGACAAUGGGCGGAAGCCUGAUCCAGCCAUGCCGCGUGAGUGAAGAAGGCCU